This 107-nucleotide small nuclear RNA is filed under the name Myotis brandtii (Brandt's bat). Lineage: Eukaryota; Metazoa; Chordata; Mammalia; Chiroptera; Vespertilionidae. The record is from RNAcentral.
GUGCUCGCUUGGGCAGCGCAUAUACUAAAAUUCGAGCCAUACGGAGAGGAUUGGCAUGGCUCCAGUGCAAGGAUGAUAUGAAAAUUCGUGAAGCAUUAUAUGCUACU